UUACCAGCUUGACAUAGAUGAAAGAUAGCAAUAAACAGGUGCUGCAUGGCUGUCGUCAGCUCGUGUCGUGAGAUGUUGGGUUAAGUCCCGCAACGAGCGCAACCCUACGCCUGUUGCCACAGAGACUCUGGCGGACUGCCUCGUUCAAGGGGAGGAAGGUGGGGAUGACGUCAAGUCAGUAUGGCCCUUACGCUGGGCUGCACACGUACUACAAUGCGAUACAAGGGGCACGGCAACGGGAGCAAUCCUAAAUCGGCCCAGUUCAGAUUGCUGUCUGCAACUCGACAGCAUGAAGCCGGAAUCGCUAGUAAUGGCGAUCAGCACGCGCCGUGAAUACGUUCCCAGGCCUUGUACACACCGCCCGUCACAUCAUGAAAGCCGUUGACCAAA
This 390-nucleotide ribosomal RNA is filed under the name uncultured bacterium. Its description in RNAcentral is "bacterial SSU rRNA". It matches the Rfam family "Bacterial small subunit ribosomal RNA", at positions 971 to 1425 of the family's 1533-position model. The record is from RNAcentral.